GUGCCUAAUACAUGCAAGUCGAGCGAGCGGAACUAACAGAUUUACUUCGGUAAUGACGUUAGGAAAGCGAGCGGCGGAUGGGUGAGUAACACGUGGGGAACCUGCCCCAUAGUCUGGGAUACCACUUGGAAACAGGUGCUAAUACCGGAUAAGAAAGCAGAUCGCAUGAUCAGCUUUUAAAAGGCGGCGUAAGCUGUCGCUAUGGGAUGGCCCCGCGGUGCAUUAGCUAGUUGGUAAGGUAAAGGCUUACCAAGGCGAUGAUGCAUAGCCGAGUUGAGAGACUGAUCGGCCACAUUGGGACUGAGACACGGCCCAAACUCCUACGGGAGGCAGCAGUAGGGAAUCUUCCACAAUGGACGCAAGUCUGAUGGAGCAACGCCGCGUGAGUGAAGAAGGUUUUCGGAUCGUAAAGCUCUGUUGUUGGUGAAGAAGGAUAGAGGUAGUAACUGGCCUUUAUUUGACGGUAAUCAACCAGAAAGUCACGGCUAACUACGUGCCAGCAGCCGCGGUAAUACGUAGGUGGCAAGCGUUGUCCGGAUUUAUUGGGCGUAAAGCGAGCGCAGGCGGAAGAAUAAGUCUGAUGUGAAAGCCCUCGGCUUAACCGAGGAACUGCAUCGGAAACUGUUUUUCUUGAGUGCAGAAGAGGAGAGUGGAACUCCAUGUGUAGCGGUGGAAUGCGUAGAUAUAUGGAAGAACACCAGUGGCGAAGGCGGCUCUCUGGUCUGCAACUGACGCUG
Molecule: ribosomal RNA, 737 nt
Filed under: uncultured Bacilli bacterium
Lineage: Bacteria; Bacillati; Bacillota; Bacilli
Description: bacterial SSU rRNA
Rfam family: Bacterial small subunit ribosomal RNA
Source: RNAcentral